GGAAAUCUCACCAGGCCCGGCUACUGGAAGGAUUGACAGAUUGAUAUUGAUAUUGAGCAAUAACAGGUCUGUGAUGCCCGGCCGUUCUUAGUUGGUGGAGUGAUUUGUCUGGUUAAUUCCGUUAACGAACGAGACCUUAACCUGCUAACUAGUUUAUAUUCUCACAGAGUAUAAUACUUCUUAGAGGGACUAUAUAUGUUAAGUAUAUGGAAGUUUGAGGCAAUAA
RNAcentral lists this ribosomal RNA (226 nucleotides) under uncultured eukaryote. Its description in RNAcentral is "partial 18S ribosomal RNA". It matches the Rfam family "Eukaryotic small subunit ribosomal RNA", at positions 1208 to 1456 of the family's 1831-position model. The record is from RNAcentral.